Molecule: ribosomal RNA, 778 nt
Filed under: Vibrio sp. MR04-31
Lineage: Bacteria; Pseudomonadati; Pseudomonadota; Gammaproteobacteria; Vibrionales; Vibrionaceae
Description: bacterial SSU rRNA
Rfam family: Bacterial small subunit ribosomal RNA
Source: RNAcentral
GCAGUCGAGCGGAACGACACAUUGACCCUUCGGGUGAUUUGUUGGGCGUCGAGCGGCGGACGGGUGAGUAAUGCCUGGGAAAUUGCCCUGAUGUGGGGGAUAACCAUUGGAAACGAUGGCUAAUACCGCAUAAUGUCUACGGACCAAAGAGGGGGACCUUCGGGCCUCUCGCUUCAGGAUAUGCCCAGGUGGGAUUAGCUAGUUGGUGAGGUAAUGGCUCACCAAGGCGACGAUCCCUAGCUGGUCUGAGAGGAUGAUCAGCCACACUGGAACUGAGACACGGUCCAGACUCCUACGGGAGGCAGCAGUGGGGAAUAUUGCACAAUGGGCGCAAGCCUGAUGCAGCCAUGCCGCGUGUAUGAAGAAGGCCUUCGGGUUGUAAAGUACUUUCAGUCGUGAGGAAGGCGUUGAAGUUAAUAGCUUCAUCGUUUGACGUUAGCGACAGAAGAAGCACCGGCUAACUCCGUGCCAGCAGCCGCGGUAAUACGGAGGGUGCGAGCGUUAAUCGGAAUUACUGGGCGUAAAGCGCAUGCAGGUGGUUUGUUAAGUCAGAUGUGAAAGCCCGGGGCUCAACCUCGGAACCGCAUUUGAAACUGGCAGGCUAGAGUACUGUAGAGGGGGGUAGAAUUUCAGGUGUAGCGGUGAAAUGCGUAGAGAUCUGAAGGAAUACCAGUGGCGAAGGCGGCCCCCUGGACAGAUACUGACACUCANAUGCGAAAGCGUGGGGAGCAAACAGGAUUANAUACCCUNNNAGUCCACGCCGUAAACGAUGUCUACU